RNAcentral lists this ribosomal RNA (497 nucleotides) under uncultured bacterium. RNAcentral's name for it is "partial 16S ribosomal RNA". It matches the Rfam family "Bacterial small subunit ribosomal RNA", at positions 28 to 507 of the family's 1533-position model. The record is from RNAcentral.
GACGAACGCUGGCGGCGUGCCUAAUACAUGCAAGUAGAACGCUGAAGAGAGGAGCUUGCUCUUCUUGGAUGAGUUGCGAACGGGUGAGUAACGCGUAGGUAACCUGCCUUGUAGCGGGGGAUAACUAUUGGAAACGAUAGCUAAUACCGCAUAACAAUGGAUGACACAUGUCAUUUAUUUGAAAGGGGCAAUUGCUCCACUACAAGAUGGACCUGCGUUGUAUUAGCUAGUAGGUGAGGUAAUGGCUCACCUAGGCGACGAUACAUAGCCGACCUGGUAGGGUGAUCGGCCACACUGGGAAUGAGACACGGCCCAGACUCCUACGUGUGGCAGCAGUAGGGAAUCUUGGGCAAUGGGGGCAACACUGACCGAGCAACGCCGCGUGAGUGAAGAAGGGUUUCGGAUCGUAAAGCUCUGUUGUAAGUCAAGAACGGGUGUGAGAGUGGAAAGUUCACACUGUGACGGUAGCUUACCAGAAAGGGACGGCUAACUACGUG